CAAUUGAAACAAAUANAAACAAGUGUUCUGUUGACGUGCCGGAGAUGGUGGUCGGCAAAAGGCCGAGCGUGCCGUCACAGUAUGUCGUCUCUCCCUUCACCACUGAGACGAAGAGGAAGAGGUUUAUCAACGGGACGUACCCCAAUAUGUUCCGGGAGGUCGACCAUGCCAAAUGGAAAGCAUUCGAGGCUCAGUAGCGAGCAAUGUUGCCCGGGUAAGUAUUGUAUAUUUUAGUAGAGUACCAGUACUCAUAUAAGUUUCGUUUAACAUUUUUUUUCAGCACCACCCGUAUGAUAGCCGGAAGAACGAUAUCGGAUGCAUACAAGUGGUUCCAUGAUAUCACCACUCAGGGGGCUUGGCUCGUCGACGAUAUAAGUGAAAUGCUAUUGUUACUGUUUGUACACAUUACGUUUAAUUUGUUAAAUGAAAUAAUUAUUUAUUUCUUUUUCGUUUAUGUAGCACAUCGACAUGGUCAUGGACUUGUUGCGCGAUCGAGUUGAGAGAUAUCCACAAUCAUUCUACAAGCAUGGCCGAAUAAUACUGAACACCGAGUUCUUCUGUACCGUUACCAUUAAGUAUCAGUCGCUCUAGCUUAUGGGUAACGAGUACAGGCUGCUCGUAUAUAUUCUCGAGUGGGUCAUCAGGUUGUCACCGACUGUUGGGGAAAAGUCGUGGGAGGGCUGUACGCAUAUGUACAUUUCAGUGAUUGUCAAUCAUCACUACAUUGCACUAGAGAUCGUAUUCCCUGAGUCGACGAUAUAUGUAUAUGACCCCGAUCAUUCAUGUCUGACACAGAGGCAGCUCGAGCAAAACUUAGAGCCAGUGACUGUGAUCGUUUUUAUGAUGGCUAGACGUGCGAGCUUGACUGUGUAGGACAGACUAGCCAUCAUGCGGGAUAAGACGACGACUAGGCAGUCUAUAUUGUAAGUGUUUGUAAUCUUUUUUAAAAUUAAAUUAAAACCAAACUAACACAAUAUUGUUCAUUUGCAGGGGCGACUAUGGCAUUUUCGCAAUCAAGUACAUAUAAUUUUUGAGUAUAGCACAUAAGAUUGAUAGAACCAACCAAUCAUGAAUACAGAAUUGACGGAAUAAGUUAGCGUGCGACUUAUUCGAAUUUAAU
This 1120-nucleotide long non-coding RNA is filed under the name Olea europaea subsp. europaea. The record is from RNAcentral. Lineage: Eukaryota; Viridiplantae; Streptophyta; Magnoliopsida; Lamiales; Oleaceae.